This is a long non-coding RNA of Monodelphis domestica (gray short-tailed opossum), 339 nucleotides long. RefSeq lists it as uncharacterized. NCBI's taxonomy places the organism in Eukaryota, Metazoa, Chordata, Mammalia, Didelphimorphia, Didelphidae. The record is from RefSeq and is a predicted model, not a curated record.
CUAUUCAUAUCUUCACAUUUAACUGUUAUUCCAUCUCCAUUACUGAUGAGGUCAUAUUGAGGGUGUCAUAUUGACUUGAUGGGUAUGAGGUACUGGCUAAGAAAUCUAUGAACCAGAAGGCUAUGAAGUGAACUAUGAUGAAUGAUGAAAGUCAAAAGAUAUAAUGUAGGUGCUGCCAGAUGGAGUUCUGUCUAAAGGAAUGAAGUGGUCCAACCCUGUUUGAAGUACCAUCAAACUCGUCAUCCUAUGAGAUUAAAUAACUCACUAGCAAUCAUAUAGUAAAUAUGUGUUUUUCUGUUUUCUCUUAUAAAUAUAAUAAAUAUAUUAUAUAUAAAUAAA